Molecule: ribosomal RNA, 253 nt
Filed under: uncultured bacterium
Lineage: Bacteria
Description: partial 16S ribosomal RNA
Rfam family: Bacterial small subunit ribosomal RNA
Source: RNAcentral
UACGGGGGGGGCAAGCGUUGUUCGGAAUUACUGGGCGUAAAGCGCACGUAGGCGGAUUGUUAAGUCGGGGGUGAAAUCCUGGAGCUCAACUCCAGAACUGCCUUCGAUACUGGCGGCCUUGAGUCCGGGAGAGGUGAGUGGAACUCCGAGUGUAGAGGUGAAAUUCGUAGAUAUUCGGAAGAACACCAGUGGCGAAGGCGGCUCACUGGCCCGGUACUGACGCUGAGGUGCGAAAGCGUGGGGAGCAAACAGG